UACUUGAAUUUUUGCAUGGAUUACCAUUGAUCAUUAUCUUAUUUUUACUCUCGAUCUUGUCCUGUUUCAAAAGUUGAAUCUCAAUUUCUUUUCAUAUUCAUCUACCGCUUGGAGUGAAUAUAAAAUCAAGAUUCUAGAAUUGGAGAAUAGACAAUAGGUGGGUAGGGAAUAGGCAAUAAGGCAUUUUGUUUACCCAAAAAGUAGAUAAUUUGAAAUAACCAAUGUCUUUUAAUCUUUUGGGUUGUCUGCCAUUACGGUCACCUAAUUAAUUGCAUUCGCUGGAGGCUCUAAUUGGGUUUAUCUGAAAGAGUAUGAUAAUUACCAACUGGGUUUUAAUAGAUUUCUAGGGUGGAGGUGUUUGAUUGAGUGCGUAGUUGGUUUUUGUAGGAGCAUGGAGA
This 398-nucleotide unclassified non-coding RNA is filed under the name Hevea brasiliensis (rubber tree). The record is from RNAcentral. Lineage: Eukaryota; Viridiplantae; Streptophyta; Magnoliopsida; Malpighiales; Euphorbiaceae.